AUCGCUUCUCGGCCUCCUAUGGCUAAGAUCAAGUGUAGUAUCUGUUCUUAUCAGUUUAAUAUCUGAUAUGUUCUCUAUAUGAGAACUCUAUAUUAAAUAGAUUUUUGAAACAGGGAAAGGGAAUAGGAGCUUGCUCCAUCCUUUCCAUGCAUUGACCUGGUAUUGCAGUGUUUCCAGGAACAGUGCACUUCCC
Molecule: small nuclear RNA, 193 nt
Organism: Pelusios castaneus (West African mud turtle)
Lineage: Eukaryota; Metazoa; Chordata; Testudines; Pelomedusidae
Gene: U2
Rfam family: U2 spliceosomal RNA
About the family: U2 is a small nuclear RNA (snRNA) component of the spliceosome (involved in pre-mRNA splicing).
Source: Ensembl